RNAcentral lists this ribosomal RNA (271 nucleotides) under uncultured bacterium. RNAcentral describes it as "partial 16S ribosomal RNA". It matches the Rfam family "Bacterial small subunit ribosomal RNA", at positions 334 to 621 of the family's 1533-position model. The record is from RNAcentral.
CUGUCCCUACGGGACGCAGCAGUAAGGGAUAUUGGUCAAUGGGGGAAACCCUGAACCAGCAACGCCGCGUGAGGGAAGACGGUUUUCGGAUUGUAAACCUCUGUCCUCUGUGAAGAUGAUGACGGUAGCAGAGGAGGAAGCCACGGCUAACUACGUGCCAGCAGCCGCGGUAAUACGUAGGUGGCAAGCGUUAUCCGGAUUUACUGGGUGUAAAGGGCGUGUAGGCGGGGACGCAAGUCAGAUGUGAGAACCACGGGCUCAACCUGUGGCC